This 529-nucleotide ribosomal RNA is filed under the name Cryptorhynchinae gen. sp. ARC4813. RNAcentral's name for it is "partial 16S large subunit ribosomal RNA". It matches the Rfam family "Bacterial large subunit ribosomal RNA", at positions 1823 to 2625 of the family's 2925-position model. The record is from RNAcentral. Lineage: Eukaryota; Metazoa; Arthropoda; Insecta; Coleoptera; Curculionidae.
GGCCUAAUGAAAAUAAUUGUAGGUCUUGCCUGCCCAAUGAUGAAUUAAAUGGCCGCAGUAUUUUGACUGUGCAAAGGUAGCAUAAUCAUUAGUUUUUUAAUUGAAAGCUUGUAUGAAAGGUAUGAUGAAAAAAUAUUUGUCUCUGAUUAAUUUAUAGAAAUUUAUUUUUAAGUAAAAAAGCUUAAAUAUUUAUAGAAGACGAGAAGACCCUUUAGAGUUUAAUAGUUUUAAUAUUAAAAAAAAUUAAGAAUUUUUUAUUUUAUUUUUAAAAUUAUUUGAUUGGGGUGAUAGGAAAAUUAAUAAAACUUUUCUUAAGAAUCCAUUUAUUUAUGUGUAUAUGAUCCUUAUUUAAAGAUUAAAAGAUAAAAUUACCUUAGGGAUAACAGCGUUAUUUUUCUUAAAGUUCUAAUUGAAAGAAAAGUUUGCGACCUCGAUGUUGGAUUAAAAAAAAUUAUUGGUGUAGAAGCUAAUAAAUUAAGUCUGUUCGACUUUUAAAAUUUUACAUGAUCUGAGUUUAGACCGGUGUGAG